Molecule: long non-coding RNA, 1054 nt
Organism: Larimichthys crocea (large yellow croaker)
Lineage: Eukaryota; Metazoa; Chordata; Actinopteri; Sciaenidae
Exons: 2
Source: RefSeq, a predicted model, not a curated record
GUGAUGAAGAUGAAGAUGAUGAUGAUGAUGAAGAUGAAGGUGAUGAAGAUGAUGAUGUCAUAAAUGUCUUCCAGUCCACUGUUAGCCUGUUAGCCUGUUAGCUCGCUGCUCUUUUCUGGAACAUUUGAAUCAAACUUUAUUGAGUAGCUGAUUAGCUGAGUAGCUGACGAAGCUUUAUUGAAACCAGCAGCGCGACACUGUGACAGCAAUAAAACCUCUGAUCAAUGCUUUAUGACAAUCGGAAGCUCUGACCAAUAGGAAGGCAGAGCUGACCAGCUGUGGGCGGGUCAGUCUUCGUCACUGCCACAUAUCGACUUUAAUCAGGGAUCAAAGACAAUCAGCUGCUUGUUAGCCGCUAAGUCCAGACUGUUUCUAAUUAACUAUGCUAGGCUAGGUGUUAGCAUGUUAGCCGAGCUGGUUCACUCUAAUCUAAAGCUAGUUAUUAGUUAGCUGAGCUGGUUCACUCUAAUCUAAAGCUAGUUAUUAGUUAGCCGAGCUGGUUCACUCUAAUCUAAAGCUAGUUAUUAGUUAGCCGAGCUGGUUCACUCUAAUCUAAAGCUAGUUAUUAGUUAGCUGAGCUGUUGCACUGGAACAAUAAAUUGUGGGUAGAUUUAGUUAGCAUAGCGUAGCAUCAGUGGAAGCCCGUCUCUCCUGUUCCAUUGGCUGCUGGCCGGCAGGGGGCAGGGCUACACAGGUUAAAGGGUGAUGAUGUCACUCAUUCUUAAUGUGAAGGUUUGUGUUUGUGUUUUUGCUCAGGUCAGAGGUCACUGUAAACCCCGCCCACACACAUCAGUAACCAUGACAACCCCGCUCUCUGCCGCACGUUGAUCCAGAGAUUGGCUGUUACACCUGUGUUACCAUGGUGACUGAAUAUGUGGCCAUGAGCAGAUGAUGAUUGAUGUAUUUUAUAGUACUGAGGCUGUUCCACGCCAAUCAGAGCGCCCAUAUAUGGUAAUGGGGGUGGAGGCUGGCGUGUCACACUGUAGGAAGCAUUUGUUGUGUUGUCAUGGAUUAUCAUUGUAUUUCAAAAUAAAAGCUCAACAGGUGUGCUGUA